Molecule: ribosomal RNA, 207 nt
Filed under: uncultured bacterium
Lineage: Bacteria
Description: partial 16S ribosomal RNA
Rfam family: Bacterial small subunit ribosomal RNA
Source: RNAcentral
CACGUAGGCGGUCCGGUAAGUCGGAUGUGAAAGCCCUAGGCUCAACCAAGGAAGUGCAUUCGAAACUGUCGGACUUGAGUACGGGAGAGGGUCGCGGAAUUCCCGGUGUAGAGGUGAAAUUCGUAGAUAUCGGGAGGAACACCAGAGGCGAAGGCGGCGGCCUGGACCGAUACUGACGCUGAGGUGCGAAAGCGUGGGGAGCAAACA